RNAcentral lists this ribosomal RNA (250 nucleotides) under Aspicilia cinerea. Its description in RNAcentral is "partial 18S small subunit ribosomal RNA". The record is from RNAcentral. Lineage: Eukaryota; Fungi; Ascomycota; Lecanoromycetes; Pertusariales; Megasporaceae.
CGGGCCCCGCGCCUGCUGAAGCCUUUCCGCAGCGACUCUAAACAAUUGCUCAGUCGGUAGCACCGUCUACCGGUAACACUGUUACUGCGCUGGAAGCCUUCCGGGGCUACCAGCGACCCGGAUUUACAAGAUUCGGGCCCACAGCUCAAACGACAGUGGCCGUCUCCGGGCGGUUCAGAUAUGACCGACUCUCUAGAGGUUCCUUUAGAGAAACCUUGGUUCCGUAGGUGAACCUGCGGAAGGAUCAUUA